AAAUUGAAGAGUUUGAUCAUGGCUCAGAUUGAACGCUGGCGGCAGGCCUAACACAUGCAAGUCGAACGGUAACAGGGAUCAGCUUGCUGAUU
Molecule: ribosomal RNA, 92 nt
Filed under: Escherichia coli
Lineage: Bacteria; Pseudomonadati; Pseudomonadota; Gammaproteobacteria; Enterobacterales; Enterobacteriaceae
Also listed under: 2 other names
Description: partial 16S ribosomal RNA
Rfam family: Bacterial small subunit ribosomal RNA
Source: RNAcentral